RNAcentral lists this ribosomal RNA (428 nucleotides) under uncultured prokaryote. RNAcentral describes it as "bacterial SSU rRNA". It matches the Rfam family "Bacterial small subunit ribosomal RNA", at positions 355 to 796 of the family's 1533-position model. The record is from RNAcentral.
UGGGGAAUUUUCCGCAAUGGGCGCAUAGCCUGACGGAGCAAUACCGCGUGAGGGAAGAAGGCUCUUGGGUCGUAAACCUCUUUUGUCAGGGAAGAAGCAAGUGACGGUACCUGAAGAAUAAGCACCGGCUAACUCCGUGCCAGCAGCCGCGGUAAUACGGAGGGUGCAAGCGUUAAUCGGAAUUACUGGGCGUAAAGCGUGCGCAGGCGGCUGGCUAAGUCGGAUGUGAAAGCCCCGGGCUCAACCUGGGAAUGGCAUUCGAUACUGGACAGCUAGAGUUUGGUAGAGGUAAGUGGAAUUCCGGGUGUAGCGGUGAAAUGCGUAGAUAUCCGGAGGAACAUCAGUGGCGAAGGCGGCUUACUGGACCAAAACUGACGCUCAGGCACGAAAGCGUGGGUAGCAAACAGGAUUAGAUACCCCCGUAGUCC